This 396-nucleotide long non-coding RNA is filed under the name Equus caballus (horse). Its description in RNAcentral is "lncRNA (ENSECAG00000047753.1)". Lineage: Eukaryota; Metazoa; Chordata; Mammalia; Perissodactyla; Equidae. The record is from RNAcentral.
GAGGACAACUUGACUGUUCAAGUGGGUGAGGCUGGAGGGCGUGUGUGCACACGCACACACCCACAGGCUCACCUCCAUAAUCUCUCUCUCUCCUUCUCCCUGCCUCUGCUCCACUCUCCUCUCCUGGCUUCCUGUUGCCACAUGGCCCAGGGUGGCUUCCAGAAGAGAGAAAUUUGGACACAAGGAUACAGACACAGAGGGAGGACGGCCAUGCGAAGACAGAGGCAGAGAUUGAAAUUAUGCUUCCGCAAGCCAAGGAACACCACGGACUCUGGGAACCACCAGAAGAAGCUGGAAGGGACAAGGAAGGAUUCUUCCCUAGAGCCUUCGGAGACAGCAUGGGCGUGCUGACACCCUGGUUUCAGAUUUCUAGCCUCCAGGACUGUGAGAGAAUAA